AUUCUGCUGAACUUGCUUCAUAGAUCAAAAGAGAAAAAGUCCAAAAAAAUGCACAUAAGCUCUUUCCUUCAAUAAUCCAUAUUUUAGCUAAAUUGUGAUUAAAGUGAGAUUAGGAGCUGCAUAUAUAAAGUUAAUUCCUAACAGAAUUGAGGACGCUAAUCACAAUUCCAAAAACUUCUGCAUAUUCACAUUUCACUGCAUAACAGAAAACAUUCUCUCAUUCUCCCAUUUUUUGCAAAAAAAUUUCAAUAACAUUCUGCAUCAAUGGAAGAAUUUCCAUGAAUCUUUGUAAUAAUUCCUUGUAUAUUCAUCAUUAUUAGGCAUUGUGAAGCUUCUGUUUGCAGAAAAAGUUCAAGAACCGCUCGCGAAUCGCAUCGGUGGAAUCAAUCCGCAACUUCCAUAACAGUCCAAGAAUUGGUAGGAUUAAGAGAUUUUGGAGCUUCAAGAACAACUCCACGCACCUUCUACAGCGAUUUGCCAUAUCUGUUUCAUGCGAAAUUGAAGCUCAACCGCGAACUCCAUUGCCGUCAUCAAGAAAAGGUACCUUUAGUUGCUCAAUUCCUUGCGAACUUUUGCUUUGCGUUGCUUAAGCAACUUGCAUUGAGGUAGGUCUUCUUGACUUCAUGUAGUCUGGAGACCCGGCUGUUACCGGGCCGGGCAAUAAAUGUCUGAAGUCCUCCUUAAGAGGCAAUGCUUGUGUAUGUUUAUUUUUAAGCCCAAGCAGGAAAAGUCCUUCAAGUAAGGCAAUUGGUGGAAGGUAGGGACAAGCAACCUGUCCCCCACUAUUCAGUGAGUCUUCUCCUUGCUCCCAUUACAUGGUUGUAGCAUUGAGAUCAAAAGCCCAAGAUCUUGUGCAGUGCACAUUGUGUCAGAGUCAUCGAGUAUAGAAGGGUUCCCCUAUUCUGGACCCAUGCUCAUUUGUCAGCUCUCCCUGGUUAGGGAUAAGAGCUGUGAGGUCUGAUCCUCACUUCAUCCUAUCAUCUGCUUCACCUUAGCCUCGUAAUGGCAAGGUUAAGAGCAAACACAGCCUGUACAGACGAUUGCUUAGGCAGUCAAACCCGAUUGAUUGAGCCCCUUGUUUGGCUAUAGUGGGUGUUAUGUGGAUAUUUGAUUGACAUGCUUGUGUUGUUUGAGAUGCCUGUUCUCAUCUGAUAUAUGCUUGUAUAUUGUAUGCUUGUGUGAUUGCUUCUUUCCUGGUUAGGAUAGUUUGCUUAUGCAAGUAGGAUAGAAAACCGAACUUAGGGUUAACGAUGCAUGACAACAUUAGGCUCGAGUCUCAGCUCCCUAGUCGUGUGUCUCUCCCCGGUUUUUGGUUAGCAAUUCAGUCCCUUUCAGGGGAACUACAUCGCCCUGAUCCUCGUUCCAGACGAGGUAUGUAGGCAGGUGGUCGUGCGAGACCACUCCGGGCAACCUUUUUCUUUCUUGCGUGUGUUUACUUGUUAUCUGACUGUGUGUUUGGCUCGGAUGCCGACGUAAGCCCAGUGAUUGGCAGUCGGGCUCCACGUUUGCCGUUUUGUGCGUGUUUUGGCUCGGAUGCCGACGUAAGCCCAGGAUUGGCUGUCGGGCUCCACGUUUGCCCUUUUGAGUGUGUUUUGGUUCGGAUGCCGACAUAAUUCCAUCCAGUGGUUGUCGGGCUCCAUGUUUGCCACCCUUGCUUGUUUGUAUGUGUUGUGUUGUUUGGCGUGCGUAA
Molecule: long non-coding RNA, 1690 nt
Organism: Lathyrus oleraceus (garden pea)
Lineage: Eukaryota; Viridiplantae; Streptophyta; Magnoliopsida; Fabales; Fabaceae
Exons: 2
Source: RefSeq, a predicted model, not a curated record